Molecule: ribosomal RNA, 513 nt
Filed under: uncultured bacterium
Lineage: Bacteria
Description: partial 16S ribosomal RNA
Rfam family: Bacterial small subunit ribosomal RNA
Source: RNAcentral
AACGAACGUUAGCGGCGGGCCUAACACAUGCAAGUCGAGCGAGAAAGUGGCUUCGGCCAUCAGUAAAGCGGCGGACGGGUGAGUAACACGUAGGUAAUCUUCCCUUGAGCGGGGGACAACGAGCCGAAAGGCUCGCUAAUACCGCAUACGUUCCCAGAGACCUCGGUCUUUGGGAGGAAAGCUAGGUAGCAAUAUCCGGCACUCGAGGAGGAGCCUGCGUCGCAUCAGCUAGUUGGUGGGGUAACGGCCUACCAAGGCGAAGAGGCGGAGCUGGUCGGAGAGGAUGAUGAGCCAGACUGGAACUGAGACACGGUUCAGACUCGUACGGGAGGCAGCAGUGGGGAAUAUUGGACAAUGGGCGCAAGCCUGAUCCAGCCACGCCGCGUGAGUGAUGAAGGCCUUCGGGUCGUAAAGCUCUGUGGGGAGGGACGAACCGCUGUCGGUUAAUACCCGGCAGCAUGACGGUACCUCCUUAGCAAGCACCGGCUAACUUCGUGCCAGCCGCCGCCGUAA